Carlito syrichta (Philippine tarsier) is the source of this 216-nucleotide long non-coding RNA. RefSeq lists it as uncharacterized. Lineage: Eukaryota; Metazoa; Chordata; Mammalia; Primates; Tarsiidae. The transcript has 3 exons. The record is from RefSeq and is a predicted model, not a curated record.
AAUCCUCAGUGAAAACUCCAUAACUGAGUUACGGAAAGAUACUUUUGAAGGCCUGCUGUCUCUACGAUAUUUAGAUUUAUCAUGCAACAAGAUACAAUUUAUCGAAAGAGGGACAUUUGAAGCACUACCAUUCCUGCAGGUCGUAAAUCUUGGUUGCAAUUUCCUUACCAAACUGAGCUUUGGGACAUUCCAAGCAUGGCACAACAUGCAGUUUUU